CUUAACAUAGUGGAACAAUAAUAUCAGAUGUUAACAUUUAAAAAAUGUGUUAUUUCUCAUAGUUGAAGUUUAUUUUUAAGCCAAAUGACCAAAGUUUGUCCAAUUGCACGUCAUAGUUCAUGAUAAUGUAUCCAUUUUUUUGCCCAAAGAUGCAUCUUGUCAUGACAAACAAUAUUGCCAAAGAGGUUUACAAAUGUUUGGUUAUAAAAAAUGAUUUUUCAUUUUCCAAAUGCAAAACGUAGGGUGUUUUGUGAAGCUACUACAAUUAAUAUGGUUAAAAAAGACCUAUAUCUAAUUUUAACACAAAGUAAACCAUAUUUAAACGUACAUAUAGUUGGGACUACAAUAGAAGCCAUUAAGUUUGGUUGAAAUUGUAAAAGGAACAUGACAAACAUAAAAUAAAAAAACACAAAAUUUUAUACUCAUCAACAACGGGCAUGCUGUCUUGCCCGCCACUAAUGUUGUGCUGAUAGCUGAAGAUUAACACAAAAAAAUCAAUAACUUUUUUCUCAUUUAAAAGAUUAACAAAAAAAGUAACGAGAAAAAAAAUAGUGAAGCUUCACCGGCGGGUCUGCAAUUUUGCCCGCCACUGAAGCUGUGCGAACCGAAGAAACACAAAUCUUCAUGGGCGCAUGUGAUUGGUGGAGAGUCAGUGGGCAUGGAUCGAUGACGUGGAUGCAUCCAUCAAUUCAUCUUUCCAUCUCUCCUCUCCCGAUGCCUUCUUCUCCUACUCUCAUCCCUCUGCUCUCAUCUCUAUCUUCCCGUGCUCUCAUCUCUCUAUCUCCCCUCUGCUCUCUGCUCUCCAAGUCCACAACUCCAUCUCUCUCCCUUUACUCCUCUCAAUCCCUCCUGCCCCACCGCCUGCAGGUCACCCCGCCGCCGGCCCCUGCCACGUGAGCCCCGCCUCCGGCCUCGCGCCACCCUGCCACCGGCCCCAGACGCGCACCCUAUCACCGGCCC
RNAcentral lists this long non-coding RNA (960 nucleotides) under Brachypodium distachyon (stiff brome). Its description in RNAcentral is "long non-coding RNA (BDIS_LNC003947)". The record is from RNAcentral. Lineage: Eukaryota; Viridiplantae; Streptophyta; Magnoliopsida; Poales; Poaceae.